AACGAACGCUGGCGGCAGGCUUAACACAUGCAAGUCGAACGCAUCCUUCGGGAUGAGUGGCAGACGGGUGAGUAACGCGUGGGAACGUGCCCUUUAGUUUGGAAUAACCCAGGGAAACUUGGGCUAAUACCGGAUACGCCCGAAAGGGAAGGAUUAUCGCUGAAGGAGCGGCCCGCGUCUGAUUAGCUAGUUGGUGAGGUAAUGGCUCACCAAGGCGACGAUCAGUAGCUGGUC
RNAcentral lists this ribosomal RNA (234 nucleotides) under uncultured bacterium. Its description in RNAcentral is "partial 16S ribosomal RNA". It matches the Rfam family "Bacterial small subunit ribosomal RNA", at positions 29 to 292 of the family's 1533-position model. The record is from RNAcentral.